GGCUCGUUGGUCGAUGGGUAUGAUUCUCGCUUCGGGUGCGAGAGGUCCCGGGUUCAAAUCCUGGACGAGCCC
RNAcentral lists this transfer RNA (72 nucleotides) under Dallia pectoralis (Alaska blackfish). RNAcentral describes it as "tRNA-OTHER". It matches the Rfam family "tRNA". From Rfam's summary of the family: Transfer RNA (tRNA) molecules are approximately 80 nucleotides in length. The record is from RNAcentral. Lineage: Eukaryota; Metazoa; Chordata; Actinopteri; Esociformes; Umbridae.